This 1397-nucleotide long non-coding RNA is filed under the name Cyanistes caeruleus (blue tit). RNAcentral describes it as "lncRNA (ENSCCEG00000018703.1)". Lineage: Eukaryota; Metazoa; Chordata; Aves; Passeriformes; Paridae. The record is from RNAcentral.
UUGGGGCACGGGAAUGAGAAAGGGACUGGGGGAUUGGGGUGGGGAGUGCUGGGAUCAGGCACAGAAAUCAGGGAGAGCUGGGACUGGGAUUGGAUUGGGAUUGGAUUGGGACUGGGAUUGGAUUGGGAUUGGGAUUGGGAUUGGGAUUGGGAUGGGAUUGGGAUGGGAUUGGGAUGGGAUUGGGAUGGGAUGCCAUCCCCAUCCUGGAAUGCCAUGGGAUCACCCUGGGAUCACCCUGGCUCCGGUGGGAUCACCCUGGCUCCGGUGGGAUCACCCCGCAGAUCCCGUACGGGAAGAAAUACGACAAGUCCUGGCUGCUGAGCUCCAUCCAGAACCUCUGCAGCGUCCCCUUCACCCCCGUCGAGUUCCAUUACGAUCACAACCGGGCCCAGUUCUACGUGGAGGACGCGACCACGGCCAGCGCCCUCAAGCAGGUGUCCCGGAAAAUCACCGACAGGGACAACUACAAGGUGGGGAUCGGGGGGAUCCGGGGGGAUCCGGGGGGAUCCGUGGGAUGCAAUGGGAUCCGUGGGGUGGGAUUGGAUCUGUAGGAUCCACAGGAUCCGCAGGGUGGGAUCGGAUUCGUGGGACAGGGUGGGAUCUGUGGGAUGGGAGUUGAUCUAAUGGAUGGGGUGGGAUCCAUGGGAUUGGAUCCAUGGGAUGGGAUCGGGUCCAUGGGAUGGGAUGGGAUCCUUGGGAUGGGAUCCUUGGGAUGGGAUCCAUGGGGUUGGAUCCUUGGGAUGUGAUCGGGUCCAUGGAAUGGGGUGGGAUGGGAUCCAUGGGGUUGUAUGAGAUCCAUGGGAUGGGAUGGGAUCCAUGGGAUGGAAUGGGAUGGGAUUGGAUCCGUGGGAUGGGAUCCGUGGGAUGGGAUCCAUGGGGUCCGAUCCAUGGGAUGGGAUCCUUGGGACGGGAUCGGGUCCAUGGAAUGGGAUGGGAUUGGAUCCAUGGAACGGGAUGGGAUCCUUGGGAUGGGAUCCAUGAGAUGGGAUCCAUGGGAUGAGAUCCAUGGGGUUGUAUGAGAUCCAUGGGAUGGGAUUGGAUCCAUGGAACGGGAUGGGAUCUAUGGGAUGGGAUCCAUGGGAUGGGGAUGGGAUCCAUGGGACAGGAUGGGAUCCAUGGGACAGGAUGGGAUCCAUGGGAUGGGAUGGGAUCCUUGGGAUGGGAUCCAUGAGAUGGGAUCCAUGGGAUUGGAUCCUUGGGGUGGGAUCGGGUCCAUGGGAUGGGGUCAGAUCCAUGGGGUUGGAUCCACGUGAUGGGAUGAGGAUGAGGAUGGUCAGAACAGGCCGGGAAUUGGGGCUGGGAACGGGGCUGGGAAGGGGGGCUGGGAAGGUCCUGGGAAGGUUCUGGGAAGGUUCUGGAAGGUCCUGGGAAGGUCCUGGGAAGGUCCUGGGAAUGUU